This 899-nucleotide ribosomal RNA is filed under the name Bacillus subtilis. Its description in RNAcentral is "bacterial SSU rRNA". It matches the Rfam family "Bacterial small subunit ribosomal RNA", at positions 51 to 936 of the family's 1533-position model. Lineage: Bacteria; Bacillati; Bacillota; Bacilli; Caryophanales; Bacillaceae. The record is from RNAcentral.
AUACAUGCAAGUCGAGCGGACAGAUGGGAGCUUGCUCCCUGAUGUUAGCGGCGGACGGGUGAGUAACACGUGGGUAACCUGCCUGUAAGACUGGGAUAACUCCGGGAAACCGGGGCUAAUACCGGAUGGUUGUUUGAACCGCAUGGUUCAAACAUAAAAGGUGGCUUCGGCUACCACUUACAGAUGGACCCGCGGCGCAUUAGCUAGUUGGUGAGGUAACGGCUCACCAAGGCAACGAUGCGUAGCCGACCUGAGAGGGUGAUCGGCCACACUGGGACUGAGACACGGCCCAGACUCCUACGGGAGGCAGCAAGGGAAUCUUCCGCAAUGGACGAAAGUCUGACGGAGCAACGCCGCGUGAGUGAUGAAGGUUUUCGGAUCGUAAAGCUCUGUUGUUAGGGAAGAACAAGUACCGUUCGAAUAGGGCGGUACCUUGACGGUACCUAACCAGAAAGCCACGGCUAACUACGUGCCAGCAGCCGCGGUAAUACGUAGGUGGCAAGGUGAUGUGCUGCUUUUUCUUUAAGGGCUCGCAGGCGGUUUCUUAAGUCUGAUGUGAAAGCCCCCGGCUCAACCGGGGAGGGUCAUUGGAAACUGGGGAACUUGAGUGCAGAAGAGGAGAGUGGAAUUCCACGUGUAGCGGUGAAAUGCGUAGAGAUGUGGAGGAACACCAGUGGCGAAGGCGACUCUCUGGUCUGUAACUGACGCUGAGGAGCGAAAGCGUGGGGAGCGAACAGGAUUAGAUACCCUGGUAGUCCACGCCGUAAACGAUGAGUGCUAAGUGUUAGGGGGUUUCCGCCCCUUAGUGCUGCAGCUAACGCAUUAAGCACUCCGCCUGGGGAGUACGGUCGCAAGACUGAAACUCAAAGGAAUUGACGGGGGCCCGCACAAGCGGUGGA